Molecule: ribosomal RNA, 358 nt
Filed under: uncultured bacterium
Lineage: Bacteria
Description: bacterial SSU rRNA
Rfam family: Bacterial small subunit ribosomal RNA
Source: RNAcentral
AGAGUUUGAUCAUGGCUCAGAUUGAACGCUGGCGGCAGGCCUAACACAUGCAAGUCGAGCGGAUGACGGGAGCUUGCUCCUUGAUUCAGCGGCGGACGGGUGAGUAAUGCCUAGGAAUCUGCCUGGUAGUGGGGGACAACGUUUCGAAAGGAACGCUAAUACCGCAUACGUCCUACGGGAGAAAGCAGGGGACCUUCGGGCCUUGCGCUAUCAGAUGAGCCUAGGUCGGAUUAGCUUGUUGGUGAGGUAAUGGCUCUUCAACGGGACGCUCCUUAGCUCAUGUUUGCGGAUGCUCUGUCCCUCGUUUUCCGGGACACAGCUCUGACCAUGACUGCGGAUUCCACUGGCCGUCUUUUUC